This 425-nucleotide ribosomal RNA is filed under the name uncultured bacterium. RNAcentral's name for it is "bacterial SSU rRNA". It matches the Rfam family "Bacterial small subunit ribosomal RNA", at positions 355 to 771 of the family's 1533-position model. The record is from RNAcentral.
UGGGGAAUUGUUCGCAAUGGGCGCAAGCCUGACGACGCAACGCCGCGUGGAGGAUGAAGAUCUUCGGGUCGUAAACUCCUUUCGAUCGGGACGAAUGGCCGGUGACCUAAUACGUCACUGGAGUGACGGUACCGAGAGAAGAAGCCCCGGCUAACUCUGUGCCAGCAGCCGCGGUAAUACAGAGGUGGCAAGCGUUGUUCGGAAUUACUGGGCGUAAAGGGCGCGUAGGCGGUUUGUCAAGUCCCGUGUGAAAGCCCCCGGCUCAACCGGGGAACGGCGCGGGAAACUAGCAGGCUUGAGUUCGGGAGAGGGAAGCGGAAUUCCGGGUGUAGCGGUGAAAUGCGCAGAUAUCCGGAGGAACACCGGUGGCGAAGGCGGCUUCCUGGACCGACACUGACGCUGAGGCGCGAAAGCUAGGGGAGCAA